This 253-nucleotide ribosomal RNA is filed under the name uncultured bacterium. RNAcentral's name for it is "partial 16S ribosomal RNA". It matches the Rfam family "Bacterial small subunit ribosomal RNA", at positions 524 to 776 of the family's 1533-position model. The record is from RNAcentral.
UACGGAGGGUGCGAGCGUUGUCCGGAAUCACUGGGCGUAAAGGGCGCGUAGGCGGCCUGAUAAGUAGGGGGUGAAAUCCUGCGGCUUAACCGCAGGGCUGCCUUCUAAACUGUCAGGCUAGAGCACAGUAGAGGCAGGUGGAAUUCCCGGUGUAGCGGUGAAAUGCGCAGAUAUCAGGAAGAACACCCGUGGCUAAGGCGGCUCUCUAGUACGGUACUGACGCUGAGACGCGAAAGCGUGGGGAGCGAACAGG